AACGCACCUUGCACUCUUUGGUAUUCCGAAGAGUAUGUCUGUUUGAGUGUCAUGAAAUUCUCAACCCCCCUGUUUUGUAACGAGACGGGCGUGGGCUUGGAUUAUGGCUGUCUGUCGGCGUCAAGCCGGCUCAGCUGAAAUACACGAGCAACCCAUUUGAAAUAGACGGUUUGACUUGGCGUAAUAAUUAUUUCGCUGAGGACGUCUUCUUUAAAGUCAGUGGUGCUUCUAAUGCGUACUAUACAUCAUAAGCUUUAGACCUCAAAUCAGUCAGGACUACCCGCUGAACUUAA
This 293-nucleotide unclassified non-coding RNA is filed under the name uncultured Cystobasidiaceae. RNAcentral describes it as "sequence contains ITS2". The stretch from base 1 to 52 matches the Rfam family "5.8S ribosomal RNA", at positions 103 to 154 of the family's 154-position model. The record is from RNAcentral. Lineage: Eukaryota; Fungi; Basidiomycota; Cystobasidiomycetes; Cystobasidiales; Cystobasidiaceae.